GACGAACGCUGGCGGCGUGCCUAAUACAUGCAAGUCGAACGAACCGCGACUAGGUGCUUGCACUUGGUCAAGGUGAGUGGCGAACGGGUGAGUAACACGUGGGUAACCUACCUCAUAGUGGGGGAUAACAGUCGGAAACGACUGCUAAUACCGCAUAGGACAUAGGAUCACAUGAUCCAGUGAGGAAAGGUGGCGCAAGCUAUCGCUAAGAGAUGGACCCGCGGUGCAUUAGCUAGUUGGUAGGGUAAAGGCCUACCAAGGCGAUGAUGCAUAGCCGACCUGAGAGGGUGAUCGGCCGCAUUGGGACUGAGACACGGCCCAAACUCCUACGGGAGGCAGCAGUGGGGAAUCUUCCGCAAUGGACGCAAGUCUGACGGAGCAACGCCGCGUGAGUGAAGAAGGUCUUCGGAUCGUAAAGCUCUGUUGUUAGAGAAGAACAGCGCAUAGAGUAACUGUUAUGCGUGUGACGGUAUCUAACCAGAAAGCCACGGCUAACUACGUG
Molecule: ribosomal RNA, 502 nt
Filed under: uncultured bacterium
Lineage: Bacteria
Description: partial 16S ribosomal RNA
Rfam family: Bacterial small subunit ribosomal RNA
Source: RNAcentral